GUCCAUGUAGUAUACCUAUUAUAUUGGUCUUGUAAACCAAAGAAGGGGAUAAUAUCCCCCAUAGACUC
This 68-nucleotide transfer RNA is filed under the name Hsunycteris thomasi (Thomas' nectar bat). Its description in RNAcentral is "tRNA-Thr". The record is from RNAcentral. Lineage: Eukaryota; Metazoa; Chordata; Mammalia; Chiroptera; Phyllostomidae.